RNAcentral lists this ribosomal RNA (235 nucleotides) under uncultured Lactobacillus sp. RNAcentral's name for it is "partial 16S ribosomal RNA". It matches the Rfam family "Bacterial small subunit ribosomal RNA", at positions 127 to 355 of the family's 1533-position model. Lineage: Bacteria; Bacillati; Bacillota; Bacilli; Lactobacillales; Lactobacillaceae. The record is from RNAcentral.
UGCCCAAGAGAUCGGGAUAACACCUGGAAACAGAUGCUAAUACCGGAUAACAACAGAUGAUGCCUAUCAACUGUUUAAAAGAUGGUUCUGCUAUCACUCUUGGAUGGACCUGCGGUGCAUUAGCUAGUUGGUAGGGUAACGGCCUACCAAGGCGAUGAUGCAUAGCCGAGUUGAGAUACUGAUCGGCCACAUUGGGACUGAGACACGGCCCAAACUCCUACGGGAGGCAGCAGCU